This 259-nucleotide ribosomal RNA is filed under the name Pantoea ananatis. Its description in RNAcentral is "partial 16S ribosomal RNA". It matches the Rfam family "Bacterial small subunit ribosomal RNA", at positions 548 to 794 of the family's 1533-position model. The record is from RNAcentral. Lineage: Bacteria; Pseudomonadati; Pseudomonadota; Gammaproteobacteria; Enterobacterales; Erwiniaceae.
GUGGACCGUUAUCGGAUUACUGGGCGUAAGCGCACGCAGGCGGUCUGUUAAGUCAGAUGUGAAAUCCCCGGGCUUAACCUGGGAACUGCAUUUGAAACUGGCAGGCUUGAGUCUCGUAGAGGGGGGUAGAAUUCCAGGUGUAGCGGUGAAAUGCGUAGAGAUCUGGAGGAAUACCGGUGGCGAAGGCGGCCCCCUGGACGAAGACUGACGCUCAGGUGCGAAAGCGUGGGGAGCAAACAGGAUUAGAUACCCUGGUAAA